CAGUCGCCGCGGUAAGACAGAGGAUGCAAGCGUUAUCCGGAAUGAUUGGGCGUAAAGCGUCUGUAGGUGGCUUUUCAAGUCCGCCGUCAAAUCCCAGGGCUCAACCCUGGACAGGCGGUGGAAACUACCAAGCUGGAGUACGGUAGGGGCAGAGGGAAUUUCCGGUGGAGCGGUGAAAUGCGUAGAUAUAUGGAGGAACACCAGUGGCGAAGGCGACUCUCUGGUCUGUAACUGACGCUGAGGCUCGAAAGCGUGGGGAGCAAACAGGAUUAGAUACCCCCGUAGUCCCUGUCUCUUAUAC
RNAcentral lists this ribosomal RNA (301 nucleotides) under uncultured bacterium. RNAcentral describes it as "partial 16S ribosomal RNA". It matches the Rfam family "Bacterial small subunit ribosomal RNA", at positions 509 to 807 of the family's 1533-position model. The record is from RNAcentral.